CUACACACCGAGGCUAUGGUGCUAAAACUAUUGCUCCUAGUAUGUAAACCUAUACAGCGCGUUACUGUACGGAGUACUGUUCACGGUUGUAACACUGUGGUAUUUGUAUAUCUACAGAAAAGGUGUAGUAAAAAUACAGUAUACCCUUCCUUUCGCUGCCUGACCGCUGCCAUCAUGGGUUGUAUGCAUGCUCCCAGGAAGGGCCUGUCCCAGUCGGCUUUGCCCUAUCGCCGUAGCGUCCCCACGUGGCUGAAGGAGCAGAUUUACAAACUGGCCAAGAAGGGCCCGACUCCUUCACAAAUCAGUGUGAUCCUGAGAGAUUCACAUGGUGUCGCACAAGUACAUUUUGUGACAGGCAAUAAAAUCUUAAGAAUCCUUAAGUCUAAGGGACUUGCUCCUGAUCUCCCUGAAGAUCUUUACCAUUUAAUUAAGAAAGCAGUCGCUGUUCGAAAGCAUCUUGAGAGGAACAGAAAGGAUAAGGAUGCUAAAUUCCGUCUGAUUCUGAUAGAGAGCCGGAUUCAUCGUUUGGCUCGGUAUUAUAAGACUAAGCGAGUCCUCCCUCCCAAUUGGAAAUAUGAAUCAUCUACAGCCUCUGCCCUGGUCGCAUAAAUUUGUCUGUGUGCUAAAGCAAUAAACGUGAUUUUUUAACAAAAAAAAAAAAAAAAAAAAAAAAAAA
RNA transcript from Sapajus apella (tufted capuchin), 676 nucleotides. It is a transcript of the gene named 40S ribosomal protein S13 pseudogene, with no coding region annotated. NCBI's taxonomy places the organism in Eukaryota, Metazoa, Chordata, Mammalia, Primates, Cebidae. The transcript has a single exon. The record is from RefSeq and is a predicted model, not a curated record.